ACACACAAUUUGAGGUCCUAUCCUGGAUGGGAGCCCCGGAAGAAAAGACCUUUCUUCCAGUUGCUGUACAAAUAUUGCCAAGUUGUUCCAGUGUAAAGACAGAUUCCAUAAGAAGAAUUUCUGGACAAGUUAUCACACAGUUUCAGGACCGAGAAGUGGAAGAAAAAGCCAUUAAGGGGUGAGGAUUUGAGCAGUGAAGAUACAAGCCCUCAAGAUAUGAACACUGAAGUCUGAAGUACUUGGCCCACAGCUACGCAGAUGGGAAGGGAUGCAAGCAGAUUUGAACUCUGUAAUUUCAAAACAACCCAAGUUAUUAUGCCAUACUGCCUCUCAAGCUAUAAAAGGAAAUGUCUCUGUGGG
RNAcentral lists this long non-coding RNA (360 nucleotides) under Equus asinus (donkey). RNAcentral describes it as "lncRNA (ENSEASG00005036631.1)". Lineage: Eukaryota; Metazoa; Chordata; Mammalia; Perissodactyla; Equidae. The record is from RNAcentral.